This 529-nucleotide ribosomal RNA is filed under the name uncultured bacterium. RNAcentral describes it as "bacterial SSU rRNA". It matches the Rfam family "Bacterial small subunit ribosomal RNA", at positions 777 to 1300 of the family's 1533-position model. The record is from RNAcentral.
AAUAGAUACCCAGGUAGUCCUAGCCGUAAACGAUGGACACUAGUUGCCGGAAGAGUCAAUCCUUCGGUGACGAAGCUAACGCAUUAAGUGUCCCGCCUGGGAAGUACGCCCGCAAGGGUGAAACUCAAAGGAAUUGACGGGGGCCCGCACAAGCGGUGGAGCAUGUGCUUUAAUUCGAUGCAACGCGAAGAACCUUACCUGGGCUUGACAUGGGGGUGAAAGGUCGCAGAGAUGUGAUCCCUUCCGCAAGGAACACCCUACACGAGGUGCUGCAUGGUUGUCGUCAGCUCGUGUCGUGAGAUGUUAGGUUAAGUCCUGCAACGAGCGCAACCCUCGCCCUUAGUUGCCAUCAGGUAAUGCUGGGAACUCUAAGGGGACCGCCUGGUUUAACCAGGAGGAAGGUGGGGAUGACGUCAAAUCCUCAUGGCCCUUAGUCCAGGGCUAGACACGUGCUACAAUGGUAGAUACAGCGGGAUGCAAGCUGGUGACAGCAAGCCAAUCCCUUAAAAAUCUAUCUCAGUCCGGAUUG